GCCGCUGAGGGAGGUGGGUGGGGCUGGGCGGGGACAGGCUCCCGUCCCGGCACACGGGACCGCGAUCGCGGACCGGGACAGCGACCGCCAUCGAGGCCUCGCUCCGAGCAGUGUGGUUGGCUGCUGAGUGCCUGGUGCCUGCGCUUCUGCUAGAACUGGAGGGCAGCGCAGCAGACGCCGUGGGAGCCGUGCAUCGCUGCGGCCUGUGCUUCGUGGCACUGGGGCCUCCGGGAGUGCCAACGCUGGACAAGCCGCUGCAGGCAGCCAGGGCUGCAGGAGCAGCACUAUGUCCACCAUGGUGUACCCAAGGGAGGAGAAACUGGACAAACUGAGCCAAGAGGAGAUAAUUUCCAACACCAAGCUGGUGAUGCAGGGACUGGAGGCACUCAAGAAUGAACACAACUCCAUCCUGCACAGCUUACUGGAGACCAUCAAGUGCCUGAAGAAAGAUGAAGAAGCCAAUCUUGUGCAUGAGAAAUCCAACCUGCUCCGCAAGUCAGUGGAGAUGAUUGAACUGGGGCUUGGAGAAGCUCAGGUGAUGAUGGCAUUGUCCAACCAUCUGAAUGCUGUGGAGUCAGAGAAGCAGAAGCUGCGUGCUCAGGUGCGGAGACUGUGCCAGGAGAACCAGUGGCUGCGUGACGAGCUUGCCAACACCCAGCAGAAGCUGCAGCGCAGUGAACAAACUGUGGCUCAGCUGGAGGAGGAGAAGAAACACCUUGAGUUUAUGAACCAGCUGAAGAAGUAUGAUGAGGAUGUCUCACCUUCGGAGGAGAAGGAGGGUGACUCCACCAAAGACUCUCUGGAUGAUCUGUUCCCGAAUGAGGAGGAGGAGCAUGGUCCUGGAUUGCCCCACCAGCACAGCAGUGCAGUGGCAGCUGCCCAGCAGGGAGGCUAUGAGAUUCCUGCACGCUUGCGCACUCUCCACAACCUUGUCAUCCAGUACGCAUCACAGGGACGCUAUGAAGUGGCUGUGCCGCUCUGCAAGCAAGCGCUGGAGGACCUGGAGAAGACAUCAGGCCAUGAUCACCCUGAUGUGGCUACUAUGCUGAACAUCCUGGCGCUAGUGUACAGGGAUCAGAAUAAGUACAAAGAGGCAGCACACCUCUUGAAUGAUGCGCUUUCCAUCCGUGAGAAGACUCUGGGCAAAGACCACCCAGCGGUGGCAGCGACUCUGAACAAUCUGGCUGUUCUCUAUGGCAAGAGAGGGAAGUACAAAGAAGCAGAGCCACUGUGUAAGCGAGCCCUGGAGAUUCGUGAGAAGGUCCUAGGCAAAGACCAUCCUGAUGUGGCCAAGCAGCUGAACAAUCUAGCCCUGCUGUGCCAGAACCAGGGCAAGUAUGAUGAGGUGGAGUACUAUUACUGCCGGGCCCUGGAGAUCUACGAGAGCUGCCUGGGUCCUGAUGACCCCAAUGUGGCCAAGACCAAGAACAACCUGGCUUCCUGUUACCUGAAGCAAGGCAAAUACAAAGAUGCAGAGGUGCUGUAUAAGGAGAUCCUUACCCGUGCUCACGUGAAGGAGUUUGGCUCUGUGGAUGAUGAACACAAGCCAAUCUGGAUGCAUGCGGAGGAGAGAGAGGAGAUGAGCAAGAGCAAGCACAGAGACAGUGCUCCCUAUGCUGAGUAUGGCGGCUGGUACAAGGCCUGUAAGGUUAGCAGCCCAACUGUGAACACCACUCUGAGGAACCUGGGUGCGCUGUACCGACGCCAGGGCAAGCUAGAAGCAGCUGAGACCUUGGAGGAGUGUGCGGUUCGCUCUCGGCGGCAGGGCAUUGACCCAAUCAACCAGACAAAGGUGGUGGAGAUCCUGAAGGAGGGCGAUGGCAUGGAGAGACGUCGGAGCCUGGGGAGCAGCGUCAAGUACGAGAAUGCCACAGACGGUAGCGAGGAAGUGAGUAUGGGCGUGGAAUGGAGCGGGGCUUAAAUGCCUCCCGAGACUCCCUCUUUCCCCUCCACCGCAAUCACCUGGAUGUUUGUGUUGUAUCUUCCGACUUUUCCUCCACACCAUCCCUCCUUCCUCGGCAAGGACUCCACGCCAGUCCCCCAACCCUCCCGGCGCGCAAGGGCACCGCGACGCCUGCAGAGGAGUGUCUGGCCACGUGGCCCAGCUCCAGCCCCGUGGCCAGCAAGAGCAGGAAGAAUCUGCAAGGAGCUGCCCGCUCCCCCAGGCCAGGGUGACGGGUCACCAUACCCUUGUGUGCCCCCACCCCCAGCCUGCCCUUGCACAUCCCUGGGGACCAGGCCUGCGGGGGAUUGUCUUCACUCCGAGUGUGCCGACUCCACCGUCACUAGACAUCCUCAACCCUCCUAGCUUCUUUCCUCCUUCUCUGCAGAGGCCAGGAUGGAGGCACGAAGAGCGGGGGGGCUGUUUUGGGACAGAGAGGCCUGGCCUUGGCAAGGCUGUCAUAUGCCCAGUUGUUUCCUUCCCCAUAGGCUUAGCUGAUGUUAGUGCCCUGUAGCAAACCUGCGCUGGCCACCGGUGAGCUGGGCUCUCCCUGCAGCACAGGGCAGUCCCUGUCUCGCUAUCCUCUUCCUUCUGAGCUCCGCAUCCCAGGGGCAGCACGUGGAUCUCUCCACAGGGGCACAGGAAUGCAGAGUGGCCCGUAGUUACUGUACAUCCAAGGUGAGGUGAGGGGGUGACUGCCAGGGGCUGUGUGCAUGGAAGAGGGAUCUGCCAGGACAAGCAUGUUUGGUUGGUUACAGCGUCCUGGCCUGGUGCUGUAGCCAAGUUCCUUGCCUGUGGCAUUAAGGGUGAAUCAGCUCCCUGUUGCUCCAGGGUCCCCAGGUGUGACUGCUGGGAGAGGGAGAGGCAGGGGUGAAAUUGUUUGCUGUUCCUUGGAGACAGAGGAAGAGUAGGAAGAAAGCCAAACUUUUCUGCAAGAGGCCAGGCCCCAGGCCAUUAGAAGUGGCCAAGAUGUGGGGAAUGGCCGGUUUGGAGCAGAGUGGCUGGGAGAAGAAGGAGGUGCAAAGGAGGGUGUGAGGAAGGGAAGAGCUUGGGCUUGGGGUGCUCUGAGGACGUGGGGGCAGAUGGGAUAGCUGGAAGGAAGUUUCCACAGGAGAAGGGGCCAGGUUGCUCGUGGAGGAGGGAAAUUCUUGAACUCAGGCCCUGGGCUGCCAGGUGUAAUCUCUGGUGCUGUGCCUCACUGUCUGGCUGUCCCUAGCCAAGUGGGUGGGAAAUCUGUAACCCUGCUACUGCUAGAGGCAUGUGAGGUGUGUGUGUGUCUCAGUGCCUCUGAUGGGACUCCAGGCCUGCACAGGAUCUGGUGCUGUCAGCCACUACUAGGAAAGGGGACGUUUCCCAGUGCCAGACCUCUGCUGCUGUGAGCCUUGCAUCGCACCCUUGGGUGGACACCCUCAUCUCACCUCCUACAGAAAGUGAACCUCCCUGCCCGUCCUAUCUGGGAAGAAAGCUGGGGAGGCUGCAGCCAGUAGGAUAGAGCCCAGAGGCCAGCGCAGGACACCCCCGCACCCCCUUAUUUAUUUAGCUAGAUAGUUUCUCUCUUGCUAGGCAGGUUAUGAUACUAAAUGUGCUUGUGUCUGUCUAGGCCUGGCUUUCCUGUGGUGGUGCAGAGGCCUUGGGGCACACACGUGCUGCUCCCUUGGCAGCUUGUGCUUGCUGAAAGGAGGUUUGUCCUCAGGACCAUGGGGUGUGGAGCCCAGGGCUGAGUGCUCUAGGGCUGUGCCUUCCCAGCCUCUCUCUCCCAGCACUGCUCCAUGCUCCUGGAGAGUGGAUGGCAGUGGCACGCUCCAGCGCAGCAGCUCCCUGGGGAAAAUCCGGGAUGUGAUACGGAGGAGCAGUGAGAUGUUGGUCAAGAAACUGCAGGGCAAUGGCCCCCUGGAGCCCAGGAACACCAG
Molecule: RNA transcript, 3852 nt
Organism: Falco peregrinus (peregrine falcon)
Lineage: Eukaryota; Metazoa; Chordata; Aves; Falconiformes; Falconidae
Gene: KLC4
Gene name: kinesin light chain 4
Exons: 16
Source: RefSeq, a predicted model, not a curated record